UACGGGGGGUGCAAGCGUUAAUCGGAAUCACUGGGCGUAAAGGGUGCGUAGGCGGUACGUUAGGUCUGUCGUGAAAUCCCCGGGCUCAACCUGGGAAUGGCGGUAGAAACCGGCGCACUAGAGUAUGGGAGAGGGUGGUGGAAUUCCAGGUGUAGCGGUGAAAUGCGUAGAGAUCUGGAGGAACAUCAGUGGCGAAGGCGGCCACCUGGCCCAAUACUGACGCGGAGGCAAGAAAGAGGGGGGAGAAAAAAGG
RNAcentral lists this ribosomal RNA (253 nucleotides) under uncultured Acidithiobacillus sp. Its description in RNAcentral is "partial 16S ribosomal RNA". It matches the Rfam family "Bacterial small subunit ribosomal RNA", at positions 524 to 776 of the family's 1533-position model. The record is from RNAcentral. Lineage: Bacteria; Pseudomonadati; Pseudomonadota; Acidithiobacillia; Acidithiobacillales; Acidithiobacillaceae.